AGCGGGUUAGUUUAAUAGGCAAAACGUCGGAAUUUGACUCCGAAGUCUGUAGGGUUCGAAUCCCUCACCCGCCGCCA
Molecule: transfer RNA, 77 nt
Filed under: Vibrio phage vB_ValS_X1
Lineage: Duplodnaviria; Heunggongvirae; Uroviricota; Caudoviricetes; Demerecviridae
Description: tRNA-Gln
Rfam family: tRNA
About the family: Transfer RNA (tRNA) molecules are approximately 80 nucleotides in length. Their secondary structure includes four short double-helical elements and three loops (D, anti-codon, and T loops).
Source: RNAcentral